AGCACGCUGGCGGCCACCGGGUCGUUCGGGUCGGUGUCCCGGGCUUGAUCGCGUAUGAAGGCGAUCAGUCGGCGUUCGGCGCGUUGGCGGGCCU
This 94-nucleotide transfer RNA is filed under the name Streptomyces violaceusniger. Its description in RNAcentral is "tRNA-Thr". The record is from RNAcentral. Lineage: Bacteria; Bacillati; Actinomycetota; Actinomycetes; Kitasatosporales; Streptomycetaceae.